This 253-nucleotide ribosomal RNA is filed under the name uncultured bacterium. RNAcentral describes it as "partial 16S ribosomal RNA". It matches the Rfam family "Bacterial small subunit ribosomal RNA", at positions 524 to 776 of the family's 1533-position model. The record is from RNAcentral.
UACGUAGGGUGCGAGCGUUAAUCGGAAUUACUGGGCGUAAAGCGUGCGCAGGCGGUUUGGUAAGACAGAUGUGAAAUCCCCGGGCUUAACCUGGGAAUUGCAUUUGUGACUGCCCGGCUAGAGUGUGUCAGAGGGGGGUAGAAUUCCACGUGUAGCAGUGAAAUGCGUAGAGAUGUGGAGGAAUACCGAUGGCGAAGGCAGCCCCCUGGGCCAAUACUGACGCUCAUGCACGAAAGCGUGGGGAGCAAACAGG